GGGGGGGGGGGGGGGGGGGCGGGGGGGGGGGGGGGCGGGCGGGGGGGCCCGGGGGUGGGGGGGUGCUCGGGUGGCGCGCGGGUGAGGGACCCGGGAGUAACCUGCCCUUGACUUUGGGAUAACUUCAGGAAACUGGGGCUAAUACCGGGUAGGAGCUCCUGCUGCAUGGUGGGGGUUGGAAAGUGUCGGCGGUUGGGGAUGGCCUCGCGGCUUAUCAGCUUGUUGGUGGGGUAGUGGCUGACCAAGGCUUGGACGGGUAGCCGGCCUGAGAGGGUGACCGGCCACAUUGGGACUGAGAUACGGCCCAGACUCCUACGGGAGGCAGCAGUGGGGAAUAUUGCACAAUGGGCGGAAGCCUGAUGCAGCAACGCCGCGUGCGGGAUGACGGCCUUCGGGUUGUAAACCGCUUUCGCCUGUGACGAAGCGUGAGUGACGGUAAUGGGUAAAGAAGCACCGGCUAACUACGUG
This 468-nucleotide ribosomal RNA is filed under the name uncultured bacterium. RNAcentral describes it as "partial 16S ribosomal RNA". The stretch from base 56 to 468 matches the Rfam family "Bacterial small subunit ribosomal RNA", at positions 37 to 507 of the family's 1533-position model. The record is from RNAcentral.